CAGUAGCCGCGGUAAUACAGAGGGUGCAAGCGUUAAUCGGAUUUACUGGGCGUAAAGCGUGCGUAGGCGGCUUGUUAAGUUGGAUGUGAAAUCCCUGAGCUUAACUUAGGAAUUGCAUUCGAAACUGGGAAGCUAGAGUAUGGGAGAGGAUGGUAGAAUUCCAGGUGUAGCGGUGAAAUGCGUAGAGAUCUGGAGGAAUACCGAUGGCGAAGGCAGCCAUCUGGACUAAUACUGACGCUGAGGUACGAAAGCAUGGGGAGCAAACAGGAUUAGAUACCCCAGUAGUCCCUGUCUCUUAUAC
RNAcentral lists this ribosomal RNA (301 nucleotides) under uncultured bacterium. Its description in RNAcentral is "partial 16S ribosomal RNA". It matches the Rfam family "Bacterial small subunit ribosomal RNA", at positions 509 to 807 of the family's 1533-position model. The record is from RNAcentral.